CCUCACCUAGAGGAGGAGGAGGAAGAGGAAGAGGAUGAGAGUGUGUCUAUCAGGGGGUUUCUAAAUCCUCAUGUAAAAAAUGAAAGCGAUAUGUUUUUUGUCUGGGAUGCAGGAGUAUGAGAGGUACACCUCAGCUUAAACUCUAUGCAGGAGUCACUUAGCAGUUACCACGGCAACCUUUAAUUGCUGCUACACAGACACAGGUGAUUGAGAUUUAGCUAAUUAGUAUAAUUACACACACUAACUCUAACUAACUAGAACAAAAAUGGAGUAUAUUCUGCAUUCAAACAAAGCAGCAGGGUCAGUGUAAGCUUGGAGUGACAAAAACAACAACUACAUCACACCCCCGUUCAUUCCCCACCUCCCUCUCACCUGCGGAGGACUCCACCCAGCAGAGAGGCGUUGAGGCACUCCGGCGGGGAGAGGCGUCGCUGCACCUCCCCGACCGUCACCUUGUACUUGGAGGUGGAGCUGAGCAGCGAGAGGCGACCCGGGACCGAACAGAAGACCUCGGCCGGGUUGGACACGGAUCCCAUACCCAGACCAUCCUUACCGAAGGACAGGACCGACAGGGACGACCCGUUCAGCUUGGACGGGAUGGGAACUAUAGGUGGAGAGAUGAAGGAGGUCAAAAAGAUACAUGCUUUCAGCCUUAUGCCUUAUUUGUGUCAGACAAAAAAGUUCAACAGCAACAAAAACUGGAUGCUUAGGGGGGUAAAAAGACAUUGAGGAUGAAUAAAGAUCAUCAAUCUAAAA
Sebastes umbrosus (honeycomb rockfish) is the source of this 756-nucleotide long non-coding RNA. RefSeq lists it as uncharacterized. Lineage: Eukaryota; Metazoa; Chordata; Actinopteri; Perciformes; Sebastidae. The transcript has 2 exons. The record is from RefSeq and is a predicted model, not a curated record.